RNAcentral lists this transfer RNA (62 nucleotides) under Cavia porcellus (domestic guinea pig). It matches the Rfam family "tRNA". Rfam says of the family: Transfer RNA (tRNA) molecules are approximately 80 nucleotides in length. Their secondary structure includes four short double-helical elements and three loops (D, anti-codon, and T loops). The record is from Rfam by way of RNAcentral. Lineage: Eukaryota; Metazoa; Chordata; Mammalia; Rodentia; Caviidae.
GGGGAUUUAGCUCAGCGGCAUAAGCGCCUGCCUUGAAAACAGGCAGUUGAGUUCAAUCCCUG